This 28-nucleotide non-coding RNA is filed under the name Mus musculus (house mouse). Lineage: Eukaryota; Metazoa; Chordata; Mammalia; Rodentia; Muridae. The record is from RNAcentral.
UGCAUGUCAUGUGUAUUUGCAUGUGUGU